RNAcentral lists this ribosomal RNA (711 nucleotides) under uncultured bacterium. Its description in RNAcentral is "bacterial SSU rRNA". It matches the Rfam family "Bacterial small subunit ribosomal RNA", at positions 94 to 792 of the family's 1533-position model. The record is from RNAcentral.
AGCGGCGGACGGGUGAGUAACACGUGGGUAACCUGCCCAAGAGACUGGGAUAACACCUGGAAACAGAUGCUAAUACCGGAUAACAACACUAGACGCAUGUCUAGAGUUUAAAAGAUGGUUCUGCUAUCACUCUUGGAUGGACCUGCGGUGCAUUAGCUAGUUGGUAAGGUAACGGCUUACCAAGGCAAUGAUGCAUAGCCGAGUUGAGAGACUGAUCGGCCACAUUGGGACUGAGACACGGCCCAAACUCCUACGGGAGGCAGCAGUAGGGAAUCUUCCACAAUGGACGCAAGUCUGAUGGAGCAACGCCGCGUGAGUGAAGAAGGGUUUCGGCUCGUAAAGCUCUGUUGGUAGUGAAGAAAGAUAGAGGUAGUAACUGGCCUUUAUUUGACGGUAAUUACCUAGAAAGUCACGGCUAACUACGUGCCAGCAGCCGCGGUAAUACGUAGGUGGCAAGCGUUGUCCGGAUUUAUUGGGCGUAAAGCGAGUGCAGGCGGUUCAAUAAGUCUGAUGUGAAAGCCUUCGGCUCAACCGGAGAAUUGCAUCAGAAACUGUUGAACUUGAGUGCAGAAGAGGAGAGUGGAACUCCAUGUGUAGCGGUGGAAUGCGUAGAUAUAUGGAAGAACACCAGUGGCGAAGGCGGCUCUCUGGUCUGCAACUGACGCUGAGGCUCGAAAGCAUGGGUAGCGAACAGGAUUAGAUACCCUGGUA